This 306-nucleotide unclassified non-coding RNA is filed under the name plant metagenome. RNAcentral describes it as "partial contains 5.8S ribosomal RNA, internal transcribed spacer 2, and large subunit ribosomal RNA". The stretch from base 1 to 105 matches the Rfam family "5.8S ribosomal RNA", at positions 50 to 154 of the family's 154-position model. The record is from RNAcentral.
GAAAUGCGAUAAGUAAUGUGAAUUGCAGAAUUCAGUGAAUCAUCGAAUCUUUGAACGCACAUUGCGCCCGCCAGUAUUCUGGCGGGCAUGCCUGUCCGAGCGGCAUUUCAACCAUCAAGCCCCCGGGCUUGUGUUGGGGACCUGCGGCUGCCCGCAGGCCCUGAAAACCAGUGGCGGGCUCGCUGUCACACCGAGCGUAGUAGCAAUCACCUCGCUCAGGGCGUGCUGCGGGUUCCGGCCGUUAAACAGCCUUACAAAACCCAAGGUUGACCUCGGAUCAGGUAGGAAGACCCGCUGAACUUAAGC